RNAcentral lists this ribosomal RNA (260 nucleotides) under uncultured bacterium. Its description in RNAcentral is "partial 16S ribosomal RNA". It matches the Rfam family "Bacterial small subunit ribosomal RNA", at positions 338 to 590 of the family's 1533-position model. The record is from RNAcentral.
CCUACGGGGGGCAGCAGUAGGGAAUCUUCCACAAUGGACGGAAGUCUGAUGGAGCAACGCCGCGUGAGUGAAGAAGGGUUUCGGCUCGUAAAGCUCUGUUGGUAGUGAAGAAAGAUAGAGGUAGUAACUGGCCUUUAUUUGACGGUAAUUACUUAGAAAGUCACGGCUAACUACGUGCCAGCAGCCGCGGUAAUACGGAGGUGGCCAGCGUUGUCCGGAUUUAUUGGGCGUAAAGCGAGUGCAGGCGGUUCAAUAAGUCU